This 486-nucleotide ribosomal RNA is filed under the name uncultured bacterium. Its description in RNAcentral is "partial 16S ribosomal RNA". It matches the Rfam family "Bacterial small subunit ribosomal RNA", at positions 28 to 507 of the family's 1533-position model. The record is from RNAcentral.
GACGAACGCUGGCGGCGUGCUUAACACAUGCAAGUCGAACGCUGAAGACCUGGCUUUUGUUGGGUUGGAUGAGUGGCGAACGGGUGAGUAACACGUGAGUAACCUGCCCUCUUCUUUGGGAUAACGCCCGGAAACGGGUGCUAAUACUGGAUAUUCACUGAUCUUCGCAUGGGGGUUGGUGGAAAGGUUUGUUCUGGUGGGGGAUGGGCUCGCGGCCUAUCAGCUUGUUGGUGGGGGGAUGGCCUACCAAGGCUUUGACGGGUAGCCGGCCUGAGAGGUUGACCGGUCACAUUGGGACUGAGAUACGGGCCAGACUCCUACGGGAGGCAGCAGUGGGGAAUAUUGCACAAUGGGCGAAAGCCUGAUGCAGCGACGCCGCGUGAGGGAUGGAGGCCUUCGGGUUGUAAACCUCUUUCGCUCAUGGUCAAGCCGCAACUGUGGGUUGUGGUGAGGGUAGUGGGUAAAGAAGCGCCGGCUAACUACGUG